AUUGAACGCUGGCGGAAUGCUUUACACAUGCAAGUCGAACGGCAGCACGGACUUCGGUCUGGUGGCGAGUGGCGAACGGGUGAGUAAUACAUCGGAACGUGCCCAAUCGUGGGGGAUAACGUAGCGAAAGCUACGCUAAUACCGCAUACGAUCUAAGGAUGAAAGCGGGGGAUCGCAAGACCUCGCGCGAAUGGAGCGGCCGAUGGCAGAUUAGGUAGUUGGUAGGGUAAAGGCCUACCAAGCCGACGAUCUGUAGCUGGUCUGAGAGGAUGAUCAGCCACACUGGGACUGAGACACGGCCCAGACUCCUACGGGAGGCAGCAGUGGGGAAUUUUGGACAAUGGACGCAAGUCUGAUCCAGCCAUUCCGCGUGCAGGAUGAAGGCCCUCGGGUUGUAAACUGCUUUUGUACAGAACGAAAAGGCUCUGGUUAAUACCUAGGGCUCAUGACGGUACUGUAAGAAUAAGCACCGGCUAACUACGUGCCAGCCGCCGCGGUAA
This 500-nucleotide ribosomal RNA is filed under the name uncultured bacterium. RNAcentral's name for it is "partial 16S ribosomal RNA". It matches the Rfam family "Bacterial small subunit ribosomal RNA", at positions 30 to 523 of the family's 1533-position model. The record is from RNAcentral.